GUCUACGGCCAAGCCCUGAAUGUGCCUGAUCCCGUCUGAUCCUGGAAGCUAAUCAGGGUCAGGCCUGGUUAGUACUUGGUGGGAGACCACCUAGGAAUACCAAAUGCUGUAGGUG
Molecule: ribosomal RNA, 115 nt
Filed under: Pteropus alecto (black flying fox)
Lineage: Eukaryota; Metazoa; Chordata; Mammalia; Chiroptera; Pteropodidae
Source: RNAcentral